GAUGAACGCGGGCGGCGUGCCUAAUACAUGCAAGUCGAGCGAAUGGAUUAAGAGCUUGCUCUUAUGAAGUUAGCGGCGGACGGGUGAGUAACACGUGGGUAACCUGCCCAUAAGACUGGGAUAACUCCGGGAAACCGGGGCUAAUACCGGAUAACAUUUUGAACCGCAUGGUUCGAAAUUGAAAGGCGGCUUCGGCUGUCACUUAUGGAUGGACCCGCGUCGCAUUAGCUAGUUGGUGAGGUAACGGCUCACCAAGGCAACGAUGCGUAGCCGACCUGAGAGGGUGAUCGGCCACACUGGGACUGAGACACGGCCCAGACUCCUACGGGAGGCAGCAGUAGGGAAUCUUCCGCAAUGGACGAAAGUCUGACGGAGCAACGCCGCGUGAGUGAUGAAGGCUUUCGGGUCGUAAAACUCUGUUGUUAGGGAAGAACAAGUGCUAGUUGAAUAAGCUGGCACCUUGACGGUACCUAACCAGAAAGCCACGGCUAACUACGUGCCAGCAGCCGCGGUAAUACGUAGGUGGCAAGCGUUAUCCGGAAUUAUUGGGCGUAAAGCGCGCGCAGGUGGUUUCUUAAGUCUGAUGUGAAAGCCCACGGCUCAACCGUGGAGGGUCAUUGGAAAC
This 625-nucleotide ribosomal RNA is filed under the name Bacillus cereus. RNAcentral's name for it is "bacterial SSU rRNA". It matches the Rfam family "Bacterial small subunit ribosomal RNA", at positions 28 to 633 of the family's 1533-position model. Lineage: Bacteria; Bacillati; Bacillota; Bacilli; Caryophanales; Bacillaceae. The record is from RNAcentral.